UACAGAGGUCCCGAGCGUUGUUCGGAUUCACUGGGCGUAAAGGGUGCGUAGGUGGCAUGGUAAGUUUGAUGUGAAAGCUCAGGGCUCAACCCUGAAAUGGCAUUGAAUACUACUGUGCUGGAGGUUUGGAGGGGGGACUGGAAUUCUUGGUGUAGCAGUGAAAUGCGUAGAUAUCAAGAGGAACACCAGUGGCGAAGGCGGCAUCCUGGACCGGUAUUGACGCUGAGGCGCGAAAGCCAGGGGAGCAAACGGG
This 253-nucleotide ribosomal RNA is filed under the name uncultured bacterium. Its description in RNAcentral is "partial 16S ribosomal RNA". It matches the Rfam family "Bacterial small subunit ribosomal RNA", at positions 524 to 776 of the family's 1533-position model. The record is from RNAcentral.